RNAcentral lists this transfer RNA (69 nucleotides) under Ophisternon candidum (blind cave eel). RNAcentral's name for it is "tRNA-Gly". It matches the Rfam family "tRNA". From Rfam's summary of the family: Transfer RNA (tRNA) molecules are approximately 80 nucleotides in length. Their secondary structure includes four short double-helical elements and three loops (D, anti-codon, and T loops). Further hydrogen bonds mediate the characteristic L-shaped molecular structure. tRNAs have two regions of fundamental functional importance: the anti-codon, which is responsible for specific mRNA codon recognition, and the 3' end, to which the tRNAs corresponding amino acid is attached (by aminoacyl-tRNA synthetases). tRNAs cope with the degeneracy of the genetic code in two manners: having more than one tRNA (with a specific anti-codon) for a particular amino acid; and 'wobble' base-pairing, i.e. permitting non-standard base-pairing at the 3rd anti-codon position. Lineage: Eukaryota; Metazoa; Chordata; Actinopteri; Synbranchiformes; Synbranchidae. The record is from RNAcentral.
AUCUUUCUAGUAUAAAUAAUAUAAAUGAUUUCCAAUCAUUUGAUUUUGGUCAAAACCCAAAGAAAGAUA